RNAcentral lists this ribosomal RNA (492 nucleotides) under uncultured bacterium. RNAcentral describes it as "partial 16S ribosomal RNA". It matches the Rfam family "Bacterial small subunit ribosomal RNA", at positions 30 to 507 of the family's 1533-position model. The record is from RNAcentral.
AGUGAACGCUGGCGGUAGGCCUAACACAUGCAAGUCGAACGGCAGCACAGUAAGAGCUUGCUCUUACGGGUGGCGAGUGGCGGACGGGUGAGGAAUACAUCGGAAUCUACUUUUUCGUGGGGGAUAACGUAGGGAAACUUACGCUAAUACCGCAUACGACCUACGGGUGAAAGCAGGGGAUCUUCGGACCUUGCGCGAUUGAAUGAGCCGAUGUCGGAUUAGCUAGUUGGCGGGGUAAAGGCCCACCAAGGCGACGAUCCGUAGCUGGUCUGAGAGGAUGAUCGGACAGACAGGAACUGAGACAAGGUGUAGACUCGGACGGGGAGCAGUAGUAGGGAAUAGUGAGCGAUGGGCGAAGGCCUGACGGAGCAACGCCGCGUGAGUGAUGAAGGUCGUCGGAUAGUAAAACUCUGUUAUUAGGGAAGAAAAAAUGAAUAAGAAACUAGGCACGUCUGGACGGUACCUAAGGAGAAAGACAAGGGGAAGUACGCG